Molecule: ribosomal RNA, 253 nt
Filed under: uncultured bacterium
Lineage: Bacteria
Description: partial 16S ribosomal RNA
Rfam family: Bacterial small subunit ribosomal RNA
Source: RNAcentral
UACAGAGGUCUCGAGCGUUAGGCGGAGUCACUGGGCUUAAAGCGUGUGUAGGUGGAUGCCUAAGUACCUUGUGAAAUCCCACAGCUUAACUGUGGAACUGCUUGGUAUACUGGGCGUCUUGAGUCACUCAGGGGCGAGCGGAACAAAUGGUGGAGCGGUGAAAUGCGUAGAUAUCAUUUGGAACGCCAAUGGUGAAAACAGCUCGCUGGGGGUGUACUGACACUGAGACACGAAAGCCAGGGGAGCGAACGGG